Molecule: ribosomal RNA, 403 nt
Filed under: uncultured bacterium
Lineage: Bacteria
Description: bacterial SSU rRNA
Rfam family: Bacterial small subunit ribosomal RNA
Source: RNAcentral
UAGGGAAUAUUGCAAAAUGGGCGAAAGCCCGAUGCAGCAACGCCGCGUGGGCGAUGAAGGCCUUCGGGUCGUAAAGCCCUUUUUGAGGGGAUGAGGAAGGACAGUACCCUCAGAAUAAGCCUCGGCUAACUACGUGCCAGCAGCCGCGGUAAAACGUAGAAGGCGAGCGUUAUCCGGAUUUACUGGGCGUAAAGCGCGUGCAGGCGGAUUGGAGAGUUGGAUGUGAAAGCUCCCGGCUUAACUGGGAGAGGUCGUUCAAUACUUCCAGUCUUGAGUGCAGUAGAGGGAAGUGGAAUUCCGGGUGUAGUGGUGAAAUGCGUAGAUAUCCGGAGGAACACCAGUGGCGAAAGCGGCUUCCUGGACUGUAACUGACGCUCAGACGCGAAAGCUAGGGUAGCAAACG